UUAUGCAUUUCAUAUUUAUUUAAAUUGAGCAUUUAGUAUCUACACGAGCUAUUUAUUUAAGCAAACACUGAAGAAUUAUUACAGUUUUCAUAAUACAACCCGGAAGACUUUUUAUUUUAUUUUACUUUCCUUCACCUACUCUUCCACACCCACCUACUUCCUCCACCUUUCCUCCCACUUUCAGCUACUCCCACCCAACUACUCCUCUAAAUAACCCUCAAAGUAUAGAUCAAUCAUCACUUCCUUUCUCUCCUCAAGUCACGCUGCUUUCGAUCAAGAAGGGGGUAAGGAUUUAAUGUUCCUCCUUUCACAAACUGUUUCACCUCAUCCACUACUAAUGUGUUGGUGAUUACUUAUUCUGCAGAAACAACAAAUUCACAAUAUACAUCCCUCAUAUCUCAAGGCUUUAUGAACCAAGGGGAUUAGCGCUGCUUUCCCAAGACGAGUUUAUGUGAUUAUAAUCUUCAGGCUUUGCCUAUCCAGGUUGAGCAGCUGAUGGAAUGGAAUGAUGUUGAGCGGGUGUUCCUUUGACAUUUCAAGAAAUGUAACCUUGAGUAUACAUCUUCAUAUGUAUAUCUCACACGUUUUUCGCUGCAAAACACUUUGAUUAGGAUAACUUUAUGUUAUGAAAUUGUGACACGUGUUAUUGGGUAACCCACCUUAAUCAGUUCUCAUUUAUGUAUAUGUUUUAUAAGUAUCCAAAUAAUCAUAUAUGAUCCUAGCAUUUUAUCUA
Molecule: long non-coding RNA, 733 nt
Organism: Salvia miltiorrhiza (redroot sage)
Lineage: Eukaryota; Viridiplantae; Streptophyta; Magnoliopsida; Lamiales; Lamiaceae
Exons: 3
Source: RefSeq, a predicted model, not a curated record